Molecule: ribosomal RNA, 425 nt
Filed under: uncultured Actinomycetes bacterium
Lineage: Bacteria; Bacillati; Actinomycetota; Actinomycetes
Description: bacterial SSU rRNA
Rfam family: Bacterial small subunit ribosomal RNA
Source: RNAcentral
AACGCGAAGAACCUUACCAAGGUUUGACAUGCAGGGAAAAGCCGUAGAGAUACGGUGUCCGUAAGGGUCCUGCACAGGUGGUGCAUGGCUGUCGUCAGCUCGUGUCGUGAGAUGUUGGGUUAAGUCCCGCAACGAGCGCAACCCUCGUUCUAUGUUGCCAGCGGUUCGGCCGGGAACUCAUAGGAGACUGCCGGGGUCAACUCGGAGGAAGGUGGGGAUGACGUCAAGUCCUCAUGCCCCUUAUAUCUUGGGCUGCAAACAUGCUACAAUGGCCGGUACAGAGGGCUGCGAGACCGCAAGGUGGAGCGAAUCUCAAAAAGCCGGUCUCAGUUCGGAUUGGGGUCUGCAACUCGACCCCAUGAAGUCGGAGUCGCUAGUAAUCGCGAAUCAGCAACGUCGCGGUGAAUACGUUCCCGGGCCUUGUA